This 325-nucleotide ribosomal RNA is filed under the name uncultured Streptococcus sp. RNAcentral describes it as "bacterial SSU rRNA". It matches the Rfam family "Bacterial small subunit ribosomal RNA", at positions 1055 to 1382 of the family's 1533-position model. The record is from RNAcentral. Lineage: Bacteria; Bacillati; Bacillota; Bacilli; Lactobacillales; Streptococcaceae.
UCAGCUCGUGUCGUGAGAUGUGGGUUAAGUCCCGCAACGAGCGCAACCCCUAUUGUUAGUUGCCAUCAUUCAGUUGGGCACUCUAGCGAGACUGCCGGUAAUAAACCGGAGGAAGGUGGGGAUGACGUCAAAUCAUCAUGCCCCUUAUGACCUGGGCUACACACGUGCUACAAUGGUUGGUACAACGAGUUGCGAGUCGGUGACGGCGAGCUAAUCUCUUAAAGCCAAUCUCAGUUCGGAUUGUAGGCUGCAACUCGCCUACAUGAAGUCGGAAUCGCUAGUAAUCGCGAAUCAGCACGCCGCGGUGAAUACGUUCCCGGGCCUU